GUCCCAGUAGCUCAGCAGGAUAGAGCAACGGCCUUCUAAGCCGUCGGUCGGGAGUUCGAAUCUCUCCUGGGACGCUAACA
This 80-nucleotide transfer RNA is filed under the name Bacillus cereus E33L. RNAcentral's name for it is "tRNA-Arg". It matches the Rfam family "tRNA". From Rfam's summary of the family: Transfer RNA (tRNA) molecules are approximately 80 nucleotides in length. Their secondary structure includes four short double-helical elements and three loops (D, anti-codon, and T loops). Lineage: Bacteria; Bacillati; Bacillota; Bacilli; Caryophanales; Bacillaceae. The record is from RNAcentral.